UACGUAGGGUGCGAGCGUUGUCCGGAAUUAUUGGGCGUAAAGAGCUUGUAGGCGGUCUGUCGCGUCUGCUGUGAAAAUCCGGGGCUCAACCCCGGACUUGCAGUGGGUACGGGCAGACUAGAGUUCGGUAGGGGAGACUGGAAUUCCUGGUGUAGCGGUGGAAUGCGCAGAUAUCAGGAGGAACACCGGUGGCGAAGGCGGGUCUCUGGGCCGAAACUGACACUGAGGAGCGAAAGCGUGGGGAGCAAACAGG
This 253-nucleotide ribosomal RNA is filed under the name uncultured bacterium. RNAcentral's name for it is "partial 16S ribosomal RNA". It matches the Rfam family "Bacterial small subunit ribosomal RNA", at positions 524 to 776 of the family's 1533-position model. The record is from RNAcentral.